Small nuclear RNA from Schistocerca serialis cubense, 107 nucleotides. NCBI's taxonomy places the organism in Eukaryota, Metazoa, Arthropoda, Insecta, Orthoptera, Acrididae. The record is from RefSeq and is a predicted model, not a curated record.
GUACUCGAUUCUGCGGUACAUAUACUAAAAUUGGAACGAUACAGAGGAGAUUAGCAUGGCCCCUGCGCAAGGAUUACACGCACAAGCGUGCAGCGUUCCACAUUUAA